RNAcentral lists this ribosomal RNA (253 nucleotides) under uncultured bacterium. Its description in RNAcentral is "partial 16S ribosomal RNA". It matches the Rfam family "Bacterial small subunit ribosomal RNA", at positions 524 to 776 of the family's 1533-position model. The record is from RNAcentral.
UACGGGGGGGGUAAGCGUUGUUCGGAAUUACUGGGCGUAAAGGGCUCGUAGGCGGCCAACUAAGUCAUACGUGAAAUCCCUCAGCUUAACUGGGGAACUGCGUGUGAUACUGGAUGGCUUGGAUUUGGGAGAGGGAUGCGGAAUUCCAGGUGUAGCGGUGAAAUGCGUAGAUAUCUGGAGGAACACCGGUGGCGAAGGCGGCAUCCUGGACCAAUAUUGACGCUGAGGCGCGAAAGCGUGGGGAGCGAACAGG